Molecule: ribosomal RNA, 348 nt
Filed under: uncultured archaeon
Lineage: Archaea
Description: bacterial SSU rRNA
Rfam family: Archaeal small subunit ribosomal RNA
Source: RNAcentral
GCGCGAAAACUUUACAAUGCGGGAAACCGUGAUAAGGGAAUCUCGAGUGCCAGCAUAUAAUGUUGGCUGUCCAGAUGCCUAAAAAGCAUCUGUUAGCAAGGGCCGGGCAAGACCGGUGCCAGCCGCCGCGGUAACACCGGCGGCCCGAGUGGUAACCGCUUUUAUUGGGUCUAAAGGGUCUGUAGCCGGCCAUGUAAGUCCCUUGGGAAAUCUGGCAGCUCAACUGUCAGGCUGCUAGGGGAUACUGCUUGGCUUGGGACCGGGAGAGGUGAGAGGUACCUUGAGGGUAGGGGUGAAAUCUUGUGAUCCUCGGGGGACCACCAGUGGCGAAGGCGUCUCACCAGAACG